Molecule: ribosomal RNA, 463 nt
Filed under: uncultured bacterium
Lineage: Bacteria
Description: partial 16S ribosomal RNA
Rfam family: Bacterial small subunit ribosomal RNA
Source: RNAcentral
GACGAACGCUGGCGGCGUGCUUAACACAUGCAAGUCGAACGGUGAACCUCUUCGGAGGGGAUCAGUGGCGAACGGGUGAGUAACACGUGGGCAACCUGCCCCCGGCUCUGGGAUAACUCCAAGAAAUUGGGGCUAAUACCGGAUGUUCACCGCUUCCCGCAUGGGUGGUGGUGGAAAGGGUUUCCGGCUAGGGAUGGGCCCGCGGCCUAUCAGCUUGUUGGUGGGGUAGUGGCCUACCAAGGCGACGACGGGUAGCCGGCCUGAGAGGGUGACCGGCCACACUGGGACUGAGACACGGCCCAGACUCCUACGGGAGGCAGCAGUGGGGAAUAUUGCGCAAUGGGCGGAAGCCUGACGCAGCGACGCCGCGUGGGGGAUGACGGCCUUCGGGUUGUAAACCUCUUUCAGCAGGGACGAAGCGCAAGUGACGGUACCUGCAGAAGAAGCACCGGCCAACUACGUG